UGAUCAUGGCUCAGAUUGAACGCUGGCGGCAGGCUUAACACAUGCAAGUCGAGCGGAGAGAGGUAGCUUGCUACUGAUCUUAGCGGCGGACGGGUGAGUAAUACUUAGGAAUCUGGCUAUUAGUGGGGGACAACAUUUCGAAAGGGAUGCUAAUACCGCAUACGUCCUACAGGAGAAAGCAGGGGAUCUUCGGACCUUGCGCUAAUAGAUGAGCCUAAGUCGGAUUAGCUAGUUGGUGGGGUAAAGGCCUACCAAGGCGACGAUCUGUAGCGGGUCUGAGAGGAUGAUCCGCCACACUGGGACUGAGACACGGCCCAGACUCCUACGGGAGGCAGCAGUGGGGAAUAUUGGACAAUGGGGGAAACCCUGAUCCAGCCAUGCCGCGUGUGUGAAGAAGGCCUUAUGGUUGUAAAGCACUUUAAGCGAGGAGGAGGCUACUGAGACUAAUACUCUUGGAUAGUGGACGUUACUCGCAGAAUAAGCACCGGCUAACUCUGUGCCAGCAGCCGCGGUAAUACAGAGGGUGCGAGCGUUAAUCGGAUUUACUGGGCGUAAAGCGUGCGUAGGCGGC
RNAcentral lists this ribosomal RNA (571 nucleotides) under uncultured bacterium. RNAcentral describes it as "bacterial SSU rRNA". It matches the Rfam family "Bacterial small subunit ribosomal RNA", at positions 14 to 579 of the family's 1533-position model. The record is from RNAcentral.